Molecule: ribosomal RNA, 252 nt
Filed under: uncultured bacterium
Lineage: Bacteria
Description: partial 16S ribosomal RNA
Rfam family: Bacterial small subunit ribosomal RNA
Source: RNAcentral
UACGUAUGGUGCAAGCGUUAUCCGGAUUUACUGGGUGUAAAGGGAGCGUAGGCGGCGCGUUAAGUCUGAUGUGAAAACCCGAGGCUCAACCAUUGUAUGCAUUGGAAACUGGUAGACUUGAGUGCAGGAGAGGAGAGUGGAAUUCCAUGUGUAGCGGUGAAAUGCGUAGAUAUAUGGAGGAACACCGGUGGCGAAAGCGGCUCUCUGGCCUGUAACUGACACUGAGGCUCGAAAGCGUGGGUAUCAAACAGG